Juglans regia (Persian walnut) is the source of this 123-nucleotide ribosomal RNA. The record is from RefSeq and is a predicted model, not a curated record. Lineage: Eukaryota; Viridiplantae; Streptophyta; Magnoliopsida; Fagales; Juglandaceae.
UGAUGCGCUCCACGAUGCCAGCCCGAUCGCACCGGAUCCCAUCAGAACUCCGCAGUUAAGCGUGCUUGGGCGAGAGUAGUACUAGGAUGGGUGACCUCCUGGGAAGUCCUCGUGUUGCACCCC